This 252-nucleotide ribosomal RNA is filed under the name uncultured bacterium. RNAcentral describes it as "partial 16S ribosomal RNA". It matches the Rfam family "Bacterial small subunit ribosomal RNA", at positions 525 to 776 of the family's 1533-position model. The record is from RNAcentral.
ACGGAGGGUGCAAGCGUUAUCCGGAUUUACUGGGUUUAAAGGGUGCGCAGGCGGUAAUUUAAGUCAGUGGUGAAAGCCUACAGCUCAACUGUAGAACUGCCAUUGAUACUGGAUUACUUGAGUAUGGUAGAGGUAGGCGGAAUACAACAUGUAGCGGUGAAAUGCAUAGAUAUGUUGUAGAACACCGAUUGCGAAGGCAGCUUACUAAACCAUUACUGACGCUCAUGCACGAAAGCGUGGGGAGCGAACAGG